RNAcentral lists this ribosomal RNA (226 nucleotides) under uncultured marine eukaryote. RNAcentral describes it as "partial 18S ribosomal RNA". It matches the Rfam family "Eukaryotic small subunit ribosomal RNA", at positions 1210 to 1456 of the family's 1831-position model. The record is from RNAcentral.
GAAACUUACCAGGUCCAGACAUUGUUAGGAUUGACAGAUUGAGAGCUCUUUCUUGAUUCGAUGGGUGGUGGUGCAUGGCCGUUCUUAGUUGGUGGAGUGAUUUGUCUGGUUAAUUCCGAUAACGACCGAGCCCGUAGCCUGCUACAUACUCCCGCGAACUUCCUGUUGGCGGCCGACUUCUUAGAGGGACAACUUGUGACCAACAAGUGGAAGUUUGCGGCAAUAA